Molecule: long non-coding RNA, 583 nt
Organism: Homo sapiens (human)
Lineage: Eukaryota; Metazoa; Chordata; Mammalia; Primates; Hominidae
Source: Ensembl
ACCCAAAAACGUCCAAUGAGAGACCAACAGGCCCCUGACCUAAGUCAGAGCUAGACUGCAGAACUCUCAGCCCAGCUCUGCAGCAGACAUCUGCGUCAUCCUCCCAGAAAUUCAACUCAGGCCACACUUCUGGCAAAAGAAGUUUCACCCUGACUGUCCUUGUUUUCAGUCAGCUGGGCUCAGUGGGAUCUAAAAACCUGGGACAGAGUGUAGAUCCAGUAGAGGAGCCCAGGCCUCUCCUCCACGCACCCCUCACUGGCACCCCUCACCAUCUCCCAUACAUUCCCUAUGGUGCAGCCUCUCAGUCCUAGCACUAAGCUCAAAAUACAGAUAAGAGAACAAACAGUGCAAAAAGCAAAAGGUGAACAACAGAGUAAUUCUUGACACAUACAAUACAAAAAUAAAAAUAAAGAAUCCCACCCCUUUAACCUAAACUUCAUGUACCUAUAUCUUGGAGGAGCCACAAAACAAAAACAAAAACAAAAAAACUUUCAAGCUACAAUUCUCAAACGACUAAAUGCUGGCCUGGAGUAAUCAUUAAAGAGCCAAAACCCAGGACAUGAGCCCAAGAGCUACCUAUUUU